GCACUUGGUGUCUCAAACUGAGGGAGCCGGGUGCUUGCUUCUGCAGCGCAUGUUCAAGGAAGAUACUGUACGGCAACAGCGGUGUGCGUCAGGGGACUCUGAAUAUGGAGAACUGUGUGCUGCAGUGUGAGACCACGGGGGUGAUUGUACGAACAUCAGCCCGUCUCACCAUGAACAUGUGUGACCUGUAUGGCUCUAAGGGGGCUGGUGUGGAGAUUUACCCCGGCAGUGUUUGCAGUCUGGUUGGUAACGGUAUCCAUCACUGUAAGGACGGUGUUCUCAUCAAGGUGAAAAAUAACGAGAUGACUCUUAUAAAAAUUGCGCUUAUUAGAAAUGAAUACGGUCUUAAUUUUGAAAAACUGCAUAAUUUAGAUAGUGAAUCAACAUGCUCAACCCCAGUAUGUACUGUACAGACAGGUGCCGGAAUGCUCACGUUUCCUCCUUACCGUGCAUACUGACAACAACUAGGGAUGGGCGAUAUGCUAAAAAGAUCAUAUCAUGAUCACAAUUUUCAGGCAGAAUCACAAUCCACAAUCAUAUCACCACAAACUAUGUUUUAAGACUAUUUAAGUUACUGAACAGUACAACUAAACAAAUUUUUGUAUCACUAAAUUCCGUUCUUAAAUGUAAUAUUUAUCAGUUAAUUUUUCAAGUAUAUAGACCUAUCACUACUUUUUGAAAUCUACACGGUUAGAUCCACUGUACAGCACUUAUUCCAGUUUUUUGCUUCUUCCGAACAGCGGUGAGCAAAUGCAAGUAAUUGAGUUCUCAUUAAAAUCAAAAUUUAAGACUGUUAACUGCAUGCCAAAUUAAUCAAAGCACACAAUGCCAAAUU
This is a long non-coding RNA of Perca fluviatilis (European perch), 835 nucleotides long. RefSeq lists it as uncharacterized. Lineage: Eukaryota; Metazoa; Chordata; Actinopteri; Perciformes; Percidae. The record is from RefSeq and is a predicted model, not a curated record. The transcript is spliced from 3 exons.